UGUAGGCUGGUUUUCCAGGCAAAUCCGGAAAAUCAAGGCUGAGGCGUGAUGACGAGGCACUACGGUGCUGAAGCAACAAAUGCCCUGCUUCCAGGAAAAGCCUCUAAGCAUCAGGUAACAUCAAAUCGUACCCCAAACCGACACAGGUGGUCAGGUAGAGAAUACCAAGGCGCUUGAGAGAACUCGGGUGAAGGAACUAGGCAAAAUGGUGCCGUAACUUCGGGAGAAGGCACGCUGAUAUGUAGGUGAAGUCCCUCGCGGAUGGAGCUGAAAUCAGUCGAAGAUACCAGCUGGCUGCAACUGUUUAUUAAAAACACAGCACUGUGCAAACACGAAAGUGGACGUAUACGGUGUGACGCCUGCCCGGUGCCGGAAGGUUAAUUGAUGGGGUCAGCGCAAGCGAAGCUCUUGAUCGAAGCCCCGGUAAACGGCGGCCGUAACUAUAACGGUCCUAAGGUAGCGAAAUUCCUUGUCGGGUAAGUUCCGACCUGCACGAAUGGCGUAAUGAUGGCCAGGCUGUCUCCACCCGAGACUCAGUGAAAUUGAACUCGCUGUGAAGAUGCAGUGUACCCGCGGCAAGACGGAAAGACCCCGUGAACCUUUACUAUAGCUUGACACUGAACAUUGAGCCUUGAUGUGUAGGAUAGGUGGGAGGCUUUGAAGUGUGGACGCCAGUCUGCAUGGAGCCGACCUUGAAAUACCACCCUUUAAUGUUUGAUGUUCUAACGUGGACCCGUGAUCCGGGUUGCGGACAGUGUCUGGUGGGUAGUUUGACUGGGGCGGUCUCCUCCUAAAGAGUAACGGAGGAGCACGAAGGUUGGCUAAUCCUGGUCGGACAUCAGGAGGUUAGUGCAAUGGCAUAAGCCAGCUUGACUGCGAGCGUGACGGCGCGAGCAGGUGCGAAAGCAGGUCAUAGUGAUCCGGUGGUUCUGAAUGGAAGGGCCAUCGCUCAACGGAUAAAAGGUACUCCGGGGAUAACAGGCUGAUACCGCCCAAGAGUUCAUAUCGACGGCGGUGUUUGGCACCUCGAUGUCGGCUCAUCACAUCCUGGGGCUGAAGUAGGUCCCAAGGGUAUGGCUGUUCGCCAUUUAAAGUGGUACGCGAGCUGGGUUUAGAACGUCGUGAGACAGUUCGGUCCCUAUCUGCCGUGGGCGCUGGAGAACUGAGGGGGGCUGCUCCUAGUACGAGAGGACCGGAGUGGACGCAUCACUGGUGUUCGGGUUGUCAUGCCAAUGGCACUGCCCGGUAGCUAAAUGCGGAAGAGAUAAGUGCUGAAAGCAUCUAAGCACGAAACUUGCCCCGAGAUGAGUUCUCCCUGACCCUUUAAGGGUCCUGAAGGAACGUUGAAGACGACGACGUUGAUAGGCCGGGUGUGUAAGCGCAGCGAUGCGUUGAGCUAACCGGUACUAAUGAACCGUGAGGCUUAACCUU
RNAcentral lists this ribosomal RNA (1431 nucleotides) under Escherichia coli. Its description in RNAcentral is "partial 23S ribosomal RNA". It matches the Rfam family "Bacterial large subunit ribosomal RNA", at positions 1519 to 2925 of the family's 2925-position model. Lineage: Bacteria; Pseudomonadati; Pseudomonadota; Gammaproteobacteria; Enterobacterales; Enterobacteriaceae. The record is from RNAcentral. RNAcentral also lists the same sequence under 3 other names.